CAUCUGCAUCAUCACCCUGAGUGUUGUUGAUCCUCCAGGUCAGACAAGAAAAUCUGUUGGAGUGAUGCUCAGUGUGUCACUUCUUGUUGCUGUGCUGCUUGCUGUUGCGAUCAUAUUAAUCUACAGAAGAUGCAAAAAACAGGAUCCAAACAAACCAGAGGACCAGAGUUUGUUGUCCUGAUUCACUGUUUUUUGUUUUCAGUAAUUUCUUCCCAAGCUGGGAAUUUUAUUUUACAUGUCUUUUUCUGACACAUGCCACACUCAUUAAGCUAGGCCAUGUGUGAUUAGCUGAGUUGUGUUUGGCAUGUUGGAUUCGAGGCAUGUCCCCCUCCUUGAAUUGCCACCUUAUCGUGGUGGAGGGGUUUGUGAGCUCAGACGAUCCUGGGAGCUGAGUUGUCUGGAGCGUUCAGCUCUUGGUAGGGUCUCCCAUGACAAACAGGUCCCAGGUGAUGAGCCAGACUAAGAGCAAUUCAGUAACAUUUAACCAUGAUCAAAUUAGACUUUCUGUAACGUUGUUUUUGUACAUUUUGGUUGUAUAGACAGGUUAAAAUACAGCCAUUUGUCUCAGUCUGUUACCUUUUGUCUUUAAUGUGAUUGUAUUAUGUCUGAGUAAGGGUCUGUGUCCACAGGAAGCUGUUUUUCAUUUUAAUAGCUCCUCUCUCAAACACUUAUUGAUGCCAGCUGCCUGUUAGCAUAAGCUUAUACUCCUUCACAGUUGACAGAGUCUGGGUAAAAAUGGCUGAUUUUGUUUUUUUUCAUAGUUUGUCCAAAAACUAGAACAAAAACAGGUUCCUGUUGAUAAAAACCUUUAAUCUGCAACUCCACAUGUUUGUAGUCCAGCAGUUUUCAAACAUUGAGUCUCUGCUUGUGCAAAAACAAACAAGUAUCUGCUGAUGCUGUGACCUGGGAAUAAAAUGUAAUCUCCAUCAUUAUUUUUUUUAAAGAUUAAUUGACAAUGAUUCAGUUCCUGAAAUGAGACACAGGAGAAAAUAUUUGAGAACUGCUGAUUUAGUGGAUUGAGAAGCACAAAACGUAGAAGUUAUUAUACUGUAUAUGUUUACAACAUGGAAAUUAACUGUGUACAAAGCCUGACAUGUUUGCGAAUGUAUUAACGCUAACUUGUGGUGUUUUGUAUUGAAGUGAUUCUGUUUGAGUUCAGAUAUCUGACAUUAAAGUACUGUCAUGGUU
Long non-coding RNA from Haplochromis burtoni (Burton's mouthbrooder), 1188 nucleotides. RefSeq lists it as uncharacterized. NCBI's taxonomy places the organism in Eukaryota, Metazoa, Chordata, Actinopteri, Cichliformes, Cichlidae. The transcript has 2 exons. The record is from RefSeq and is a predicted model, not a curated record.